This is a long non-coding RNA of Acinonyx jubatus (cheetah), 1307 nucleotides long. RefSeq lists it as uncharacterized. The transcript has 3 exons. The record is from RefSeq and is a predicted model, not a curated record. Lineage: Eukaryota; Metazoa; Chordata; Mammalia; Carnivora; Felidae.
UUGAGGCAGAAGGAAAAUACGAAGUUUUAAAAUUUACAAUAUGAAAGUGAAAAUAGUACUCCUCUUCAUGAGGUUUCUGUUUGUUUCAGGCUUGGGAUAGGGCUCUUGGAGAAGCAGAAAGAAUGUUGGCCAGUGAACUUUGGAGAAAAGAUCUAACUAUACAUUAAUCCUCAUACUCGUUAACUUGAUACCUUGUAAAUAAGGAAAAUAAUGACAAAAAUCAUUGUGAUUCAUUGGAAGGAAACUGCCAUACCCUUUAAAAGUAAUGAAAGCAAGAUUCUAUAUCCUUUGCCUAAUAGAAAGAUAACUUCCUCACUAUUUGACUUGAAACUUUGAUUUCUUGAACAAACGUUUGACCACCUGUUAUCUGACAGAUUCUGGGAGGCACCAGGGAUAUAAGGAAGAAAGACAAUUUCUGCUUUCAAUGAAUUUCAAGUUCAGAGAAGGAGCAUAUGUAUUCAGUGGCAAGGACAAUGUAACAUGGUAAGUGCUGUGAAAAUAGUUAAGCACCAGGUACCAAGUACAGAGGAAGGUGUUCAAAUAUCUGAAAAAAGGUACUUUCCUUCUCCCAGAUUCAGUCCCAUGCCAUCACAACGAGAAGAUAAAGCAAGGUGAUUUCUAAAGACUUCCCACUCUCAUGUUCUAUGGACCUAUGAUUCCAUGAGUCAGGAUUAUCUUAGGGUGAGGAAAAACUGUCUAACCUUCAGCCUACAAUUCUCAUCAAGGAACUACUUUAGGGACUCCCAAUUCUUUAUGGCUGUCUCUUACAUUUUCAUUCCUGGAUUCUUGGGAAGAAUAGAGUCCAGUCAUAUCUGGAGACUCAGGUUGGGUUUGACAUCUAAGAGAGCUUGGGUCUUCCAUCUAACUUCUCUAUCCUUCAAUCUUUUCUAUGAUACCGCCCUUCCAGAAGUCCUCUAUGUAGAUGCCAACCUUGGUGUUGCUGAAUGAAUCCACAGCCCUGAGGAGCUGAAAUUCUAGGCACAGGCCUAGUUGGAACUGCUUCUGAUGGGAGUUUAUGUGUAUUUCAGAGGAGAAGUCUUAUGAACUUGGGUUUGAUAUGCCCAGAAAUGGAUCCAUAGCAACUUCCAGGAGAAGAUAGUCACACCAGACAAUUGAACAAAUUUUUGGUGGUUGCACCUGGACACUGAAGCCACCGUUUUCCAGAUUGUUUGCUUGGUUGUUUCCUCUGCCAGAUAUCUAUGUUUAUUGCUCUACCCUGAGGCUCAUCAUCUCAGGAAUCAGUGAAAUGUUUCCAAGAAUGGAUGGAACAGAUGUUGGGCAUGAGGCUGAGACACGCCCUGGAAGGU